UUAAAACUACACCUGCGUGGUGUUUUUUUUAGCGUGUUCCUAUGCCUGUGUGCCAAAAACAAAAACCAAAUAUCCUUGCGGUGCCACAAAAUUUUCAUCACCGGUUUCUGCCAGCGUUUAUAUGUAUAUAGACUCUGAUUUCUGCUUGUUUUGUGCUACAAAAUUUAUAUUAUUAUCCAGUACCGGAUCCAGAACUGCAGCUGGAUUCGCAAUGCUGGCGCUGAGCAAAAGGCAGAUGUGAACCGACAACAACUCCGUGGCAACCUUCUCCAAGCCAAUACGUGACACGUUCCGGUCUCCGCAACCAGAGCGUAUCAUUAGAUCUCCAACAGCAGGAUGGAUCCUUACAGGAAGUGUUUUAUAUUGUGCCAGAACGGCAUGAAGCUACCGCACAGAGAAACUACUGGUUCGGGGAACCAGUUGGAAUCGAUUUUCAUGGUCGUUUUGUGCUCUUCGUCACAGGGGGUUUUGUCGACCAAAUCUUCCGAAAUUCAUCAGUAAGAUGCUAAUAGUAUCGAUGCAAGUUUUUAGCCCAAUAGCUUACAAAAAACCUCAUGAGACGGAAAGAACAAAGCUGCCGAAAAUACUAGUCAUACUAGCUCGGCACACAGACAAUAUGAUGUGAAAAUUUAUUCCAUAUAGACAAAAAAGAGUGGAGUGCAAUUUUAAAUCAAUCAAUAAUAAACAAUCUAAAUAAAA
This 699-nucleotide long non-coding RNA is filed under the name Aedes aegypti (yellow fever mosquito). RNAcentral's name for it is "lncRNA AAEL027075". Lineage: Eukaryota; Metazoa; Arthropoda; Insecta; Diptera; Culicidae. The record is from RNAcentral.